RNAcentral lists this long non-coding RNA (1064 nucleotides) under Homo sapiens (human). RNAcentral's name for it is "HSALNT0093618". The record is from RNAcentral. Lineage: Eukaryota; Metazoa; Chordata; Mammalia; Primates; Hominidae.
GCCAAGAUGGCCGAAUAGGAACAGCUCCGGUCUACAGCUCCCAGCGUGAGCGACACAGAAGACGGGUGAUUUCUGCAUUUCCAUCUGAGAUGAGGAAAUAGAAGUCCAGAGAGUAAAGCAGAUUGCUCAAAGCUAAUAAUGAUGACAGGAAUCAAAGCCAGUUCACAGAAAAGGAAAGUGAAGCUUGGAAAAGUGAAACCACUUGCUCUAAGUGGCAGGAAGAGGUGGCGUUGAACCCCAGGGCUCUUGCAUUCAAAAGCUCUUUUGGAAAGAGAAAAGGAAAAGUGCAGCUGACUGAACUGUGAAGCAAAGGAGCUAAGAAGCCUGGAUGCCAACCCCAAGGGUCCUGAAGAGUCCCAUUGAGGAGCUCCUUACAGCAGAAAGCCCAUUUCUCAGAGGCACAUACAUGGUCCAGAGCCAAGAAGGUCCAGAAAGCAAGACUGCAUCCUUCACCAAGGAAGGUGAUUGUGAUGUGGACACUUCAAGGGGGAACAAAAAAAAAUCUUCCUUUGAAAACCUAACAUUGGCUCUGCCAAUUCAAUUUCACCGAGGUCCUUUGAGAACUGAGUUCAAAGGUUCUCUACAGCUUCCAUUUACUUUGGCAUAAGAUUUAACAGAAAAAGAAUUAAGGGAGAAUUUAUAUGGGCCAGGCUGUUUUCCAAAUCUCAGACUGCUAAAAGUUAUUUAGAAUUUGCUUUAACUUGCAAUCCUAUGUAAAGUGGUUCAGAUGUAAAUGCUUUCCGUGUGGCCUGAGGCAAUCUAGGUUUCCUCAAAUGCACAUGUGCCAUUCGAAUAUUAAAGAUUUUGAUUGGAAAUCUCAAAGUACAUUGGGUUCCUCUUGAUUAGAGACUGCUGUUACUUUAUGCGACAUUGGGUCAGAGGAGGAGAAAUAAAACAUACUGCCUUCAUUUGGGCAUUAUAUUCUCACAGUAGCUCUAACAUAAACAAACUUCACAGGCUGAGAGAAGGGCAUUUGCUCCUUUAAAUUGAGUAUGUAAUGUAAAUAAAUGUCUUCUAAGAAAGGAUGGCUGAAACUUGAUUCUGAGUCUGAACCUAUACAAGGG